RNAcentral lists this long non-coding RNA (215 nucleotides) under Brassica napus (rape). Its description in RNAcentral is "long non-coding RNA (BNAP_LNC020832)". The record is from RNAcentral. Lineage: Eukaryota; Viridiplantae; Streptophyta; Magnoliopsida; Brassicales; Brassicaceae.
GGGGGUCACAACUACCACUUGAGCUGGAGAUUCUUAAGCGUUUUUAAUACAAAACAAAUGAUUUGACAAUUUUAUCGGGGGUCAGCUGACCCCCCCCCCUACUCCCUUAGUAGAUCCACCCAUGCAUAGCGUCUGAUCGAUUCCUAAGUUGAAGCUCUAAUCGGCUAUUUUCUCGUUAAAAUCAUUUUGGCCAGUGGUAACGAAUGCCUUGGAGA